UCCCUGAUGGUCCAGUGGUUAAGACUCUGCGCUUCCACUGCAUGGGGUCAAGGGAUCGAUCCCUGGUUGGGGAA
Molecule: non-coding RNA, 74 nt
Organism: Ovis aries (sheep)
Lineage: Eukaryota; Metazoa; Chordata; Mammalia; Artiodactyla; Bovidae
Source: Rfam